GCCUGGGUGGCUCAGUCGGUUGAGCGUCCGACUUUGGCUCGGGUCACGAUCUCACGGUCCGUGAGUUCGAGCCCCGCGUCGGGCU
RNAcentral lists this transfer RNA (85 nucleotides) under Felis catus (domestic cat). It matches the Rfam family "tRNA". Rfam says of the family: Transfer RNA (tRNA) molecules are approximately 80 nucleotides in length. Lineage: Eukaryota; Metazoa; Chordata; Mammalia; Carnivora; Felidae. The record is from Rfam by way of RNAcentral.